GAUGGAGUGGCUCAAGUAGUAGAGCACUUGUUUAGCAAACAAAGACCUGGCUUCAAACCCCAGCACUCUCU
Molecule: transfer RNA, 71 nt
Filed under: Dipodomys ordii (Ord's kangaroo rat)
Lineage: Eukaryota; Metazoa; Chordata; Mammalia; Rodentia; Heteromyidae
Rfam family: tRNA
About the family: Transfer RNA (tRNA) molecules are approximately 80 nucleotides in length. Their secondary structure includes four short double-helical elements and three loops (D, anti-codon, and T loops). Further hydrogen bonds mediate the characteristic L-shaped molecular structure. tRNAs have two regions of fundamental functional importance: the anti-codon, which is responsible for specific mRNA codon recognition, and the 3' end, to which the tRNAs corresponding amino acid is attached (by aminoacyl-tRNA synthetases). tRNAs cope with the degeneracy of the genetic code in two manners: having more than one tRNA (with a specific anti-codon) for a particular amino acid; and 'wobble' base-pairing, i.e. permitting non-standard base-pairing at the 3rd anti-codon position.
Source: Rfam by way of RNAcentral